RNAcentral lists this unclassified non-coding RNA (331 nucleotides) under soil metagenome. Its description in RNAcentral is "partial contains 5.8S ribosomal RNA, internal transcribed spacer 2, and large subunit ribosomal RNA". The stretch from base 2 to 119 matches the Rfam family "5.8S ribosomal RNA", at positions 37 to 154 of the family's 154-position model. The record is from RNAcentral.
GUGAAGAACGCAGCAAAAUGCGAUAAGUAAUGUGAAUUGCAGAAUUCAGUGAAUCAUCGAAUCUUUGAACGCACAUUGCGCCCGCCAGUAUUCUGGCGGGCAUGCCUGUUCGAGCGUCAUUUCAACCCUCAAGCACAGCUUGGUGUUGGGACUCGCGUUAAUUCGCGUUCCUCAAAUUGAUUGGCGGUCACGUCGAGCUUCCAUAGCGUAGUAGUAAAACCCUCGUUACUGGUAAUCGUCGCGGCCACGCCGUUAAACCCCAACUUCUGAAUGUUGACCUCGGAUCAGGUAGGAAUACCCGCUGAACUUAAGCAUAUCAAUAAGCGGAGGA